This 897-nucleotide ribosomal RNA is filed under the name uncultured Planctomycetota bacterium. RNAcentral describes it as "bacterial SSU rRNA". It matches the Rfam family "Bacterial small subunit ribosomal RNA", at positions 28 to 896 of the family's 1533-position model. Lineage: Bacteria; Pseudomonadati; Planctomycetota. The record is from RNAcentral.
AACGAACGCUGGCGGCGUGGCUAAGACAUGCAAGUCAAACGGACUAUACAAUUGAGUAAUCGAUCGUAUAGUUAGUGGCGAAAGGGUUAGUAAUGGAUAGGUAACGUACCCUCUGCUUCGGGAUAGCGUCUCCUGAACCCUUGUGGUUCAGGAUUCCGAAGGGGGCGGUAAUACCGGAUAAUAUCAUUUGUCGAUGGGCAAAUGUUCAAAGAUUUAUCGGAAGAGGAGCGGCCUAUCUCCUAUCAGCUUGUUGGUGAGGUAAUGGCUCACCAAGGCAGCGACGGGUAGCGGGACUGAGAGGUUGACCCGCAACAUCGGGACUGAGACACUGCCCGGACCUCCACGGAGGGCUGCAGUAACGAAUAUUGCGCAAUGGGCGAAAGCCCUGACGCAGCGACGCCCGCGUGCGGGAGGAAGUCCCUCGGGAUGUAAACCGCUGUCGAGAGAUUAGAAAGUCCGCUUCGGCGGAUUGAUCAGUCUCACAGGAAGUCACGGCUAACUUCGUGCCAGCAGCCGCGGUAAGACGAAAGGUGGCUAGCGUUGUUCGGUAUUACUGGGCUUAAAGCGUGUGUAGGCUGAAAGGUAAGCGUCCUGUGAAAGCCCCCGGCUUAACCGGGGAAUUGCGAGACGAACUGUCUUUCUUGAGCCAAGUAGGGGUGCACGGAACUCUUGGUGGAGCGGUGGAAUGCGUAGAUAUCAAGAGGAACGCCAGUGGAGAAAUCGGUGCACUGGGCUUGUGCUGACGCUGAGACACGAAAGCGUGGGGAGCGAACGGGAUUAGAUACCCCGGUAGUCCACGCCGUAAACGAUGUCUACUAGGUUGUGGAAGUUCUGACACUUGCACGGCCGAAGCAAAAGUGAUAAGUAGACCGCCUGGGGAGUACGGCCGCAAGGCUA